This 62-nucleotide transfer RNA is filed under the name Bulinus globosus. Its description in RNAcentral is "tRNA-Ala". Lineage: Eukaryota; Metazoa; Mollusca; Gastropoda; Planorbidae. The record is from RNAcentral.
GGUAAAAUAUUUUAUUUAGAAAAAUUAGUUUGCAACUAAAAAGAAGUUUACUCUUUUUACCU